Zea mays is the source of this 1176-nucleotide long non-coding RNA. RefSeq lists it as uncharacterized. The record is from RefSeq and is a predicted model, not a curated record. NCBI's taxonomy places the organism in Eukaryota, Viridiplantae, Streptophyta, Magnoliopsida, Poales, Poaceae. The transcript has 6 exons.
AUAACCCUAACCUAGCCGAUUCAAUCCCAGCAACAGCCGCCCUAUCCUCCUCGUCAGCCGUCACCGCCGCCCCACAGCCUCGCCUCUACCAUCGCCCCCGCCGGUGCUAGCUGCAUCCGGCCAGGAGGUCAGUGCCCGGCACUAGCCGCAUCUAGCCUGGUGAUUAGUGCUCCACCUCGCUCCAGCCUCCAGCCCACGCCUAUAGGGGCCCCUGCCUAGCAGCCAGCCACUGUCGGCUAGGUGGUCAAUGCCCCCGCCCGCCGCCCAUGCCACGCCGCCAGCCGGCCAGCUGGCUAGCCGGCCCGCCACUGCUCCACUGUGCUCCAGUAGAUGGUGCGAUGCCCCCUUCCCUCGCCCUCGCUCUUCGUGGCUCUGAACUGAUCCACCUUCUGCGUUAGGCUCGAUUGUUUGCCGGCGAUGGUGCAGACCAACCUCUCCAUCGACAAGAUUAAUGCCAUGCUUAAGGCAUUCGACCAUACGAGAGGGUUCAUGUAGCAUGAUUACCACCUUGGCUAGAGGCACAACAUGCUCAUUAUGUGGUCAGAGUAGAACCACAAAUAUUUAUCACUUCAAUUUCCAUUCUCAUGGUCUCCGAUUGCUAACCACAAAUAUUUAAUGGUGCAAUUUCUAUGCUUGUGUUCUCUUAUUGCUAUAUUUUUCAUCAUUUGUAGGAGGUUGUCUUAGGUCACUGGAAUCAAAAUGGGAAACCUCCUAUGCAGAAUGUUUUGUAAUAUGUUUUUCAUAAGGCAUAGGAAAAAUUAGCAUAGGCAAAGAAAUGGGUCAAACCUCAUGUUGAGACUGCUAAGAUGAAAUGGAUUCCUGUUAAGGAGAAAUUGGUUCUCCUCAAGAAAAUGUAGAACAUAAUGUACAAAAGGUAUCAACAAGGUGUUAAUGAAUUCAACCUCAUAUUGAGAUUGCUAAGAUGAAAUGGAUUUCCGUUAAGGAGAAAUUGGUUGUCCUCAAGGAAAAUGCAGAACCUUAUGUACAAAUUGGUUGUCUUCAAAAUGUUGGUCAUGUAGCUGCAAGCCUACAACAAAGAGAAUCAACAAUGGUGGUGAUGCUACACAUGUAGAAGUAGCAAUGUUGGUCUUGUAAAUCCAAGAUUUGGUUGUUGAUGAAUGAUAUCUAUGAUAAUAUAUUGCUAAGUAUAUGUGAUGAUCAUUAAUUGUCGUUUAA